Molecule: ribosomal RNA, 533 nt
Filed under: uncultured bacterium
Lineage: Bacteria
Description: bacterial SSU rRNA
Rfam family: Bacterial small subunit ribosomal RNA
Source: RNAcentral
AACGAACGCUGGCGGCAGGCUUAACACAUGCAAGUCGAACGCCCCGCAAGGGGAGUGGCAGACGGGUGAGUAACACGUGGGAACGUGCCCUAAGGUUCGGAAUAUUCCCGGGAAACUGGGAGCAAUACCGAAUGUGUCCGCAAGGAGAAAGAUUUAUCGCCUUAGGAUCGGCCCGCGACGGAUUAGCUAGUUGGCGGGGUAAAAGCCCACCAAGGCGACGAUCCGUAGCUGGUCUGAGAGGACGACCAGCCACACUGGGACUGAGACACGGCCCAGACUCCUACGGGAGGCAGCAGUGGGGAAUCUUGGACAAUGGGCGAAAGCCUGAUCCAGCCAUGCCGCGUGGAUGAUGAAGGCCCUAGGGUUGUAAAAUCCUUUCGUUGGGGACGAUAAUGACGGUACCCAAAGAAGAAGCUCCGGCUAACUUCGUGCCAGCAGCCGCGGUAAUACGAAGGGGGCUAGCGUUGUUCGGAUUUACUGGGCGUAAAGCGCGUGUAGGCGGACUUGUAAGUUGGGGGUGAAAUCCCGAGGCU